UACGUAGGUGGCAAGCGUUGUCCGGAUUUACUGGGCGUAAAGAGCGCGCAGGCGGUCGUUCAAGUCGCGUGUGAAAUCCCCGGGCUCAACCUGGGAACUGCAUUUGUGACUGCAUAGCUAGAGUACGGUAGAGGGGGAUGGAAUUCCGCGUGUAGCAGUGAAAUGCGUAGAUAUGCGGAGGAACACCGAUGGCGAAGGCAAUCCCCUGGACCUGUACUGACGCUCAUGCACGAAAGCGUGGGGAGCAAACAGG
RNAcentral lists this ribosomal RNA (253 nucleotides) under uncultured bacterium. RNAcentral describes it as "partial 16S ribosomal RNA". It matches the Rfam family "Bacterial small subunit ribosomal RNA", at positions 524 to 776 of the family's 1533-position model. The record is from RNAcentral.